GACGAACGCUGGCGGCGUGCCUAAUACAUGCAAGUAGAACGCACAGUUUAUACCGUAGCUUGCUACACCAUAGACUGUGAGUUGCGAACGGGCGAGUAACGCGUAGGUAACCUGCCUGGUAGCGGGGGAUAACUAUUGGAAACGAUAGCUAAUACCGCAUAAUAUUGAUUAUUGCAUGAUAAUUGAUUGAAAGAUGCUAUUGCAUCACUACCAGAUGGACCUGCGUUGUAUUAGCUAGUAGGUGAGGUAACGGCUCACCUAGGCGACGAUACAUAGCCGACCUGAGAGGGUGAUCGGCCACACUGGGACUGAGACACGGCCCAGACUCCUACGGGAGGCAGCAGUAGGGAAUCUUCGGCAAUGGACGAAAGUCUGACCGAGCAACGCCGCGUGAGUGAAGAAGGUUUUCGGAUCGUAAAGCUCUGUUGUAAGAGAAGAACGGGUGUGAGAGUGGAAAGUUCACACUGUGACGGUAUCUUACCAGAAAGGGACGGCUAACUACGUG
Molecule: ribosomal RNA, 505 nt
Filed under: uncultured bacterium
Lineage: Bacteria
Description: partial 16S ribosomal RNA
Rfam family: Bacterial small subunit ribosomal RNA
Source: RNAcentral